RNAcentral lists this ribosomal RNA (200 nucleotides) under uncultured bacterium. RNAcentral's name for it is "partial 16S ribosomal RNA". It matches the Rfam family "Bacterial small subunit ribosomal RNA", at positions 8 to 210 of the family's 1533-position model. The record is from RNAcentral.
AGAGUUUGAUCAUGGCUCAGGACGAACGCUGGCGGCGUGCUUAACACAUGCAAGUCGAGCGGAAAGGCCCUUCGGGGUACUCGAGCGGCGAACGGGUGAGUAACACGUGAGCAACCUGCCCCUGGCUCUGGGAUAGCCUCCGGAAACGGGGAUUAAUACCGGAUAUGACCUGUGGUUUCAUGACUGCGGGUGGAAAGUUU